RNAcentral lists this ribosomal RNA (393 nucleotides) under uncultured bacterium. Its description in RNAcentral is "partial 16S ribosomal RNA". It matches the Rfam family "Bacterial small subunit ribosomal RNA", at positions 523 to 918 of the family's 1533-position model. The record is from RNAcentral.
AUACGGAGGAUGCGAGCGUUAUCCGGAUUUAUUGGGUUUAAAGGGAGCGUAGGUGGGAUAUUAAGUCAGCUGUGAAAGUUUGGGGCUCAACCUUAAAAUUGCAGUUGAUACUGGUUUCCUUGAGUACGGUAUAGGUGGGCGGAAUUCGUGGUGUAGCGGUGAAAUGCUUAGAUAUCACGAAGAACUCCGGUCGCGAAGGCAGCUCACCGGGCCGGAACUGACACUGAUGCUCGAAAGUGCGGGUAUCAAACAGGAUUAGAUACCCUGGUAGUCCGCACAGUAAACGAUGAAUACUCGCUGUUUGCGAUACACCGUAAGCGGCCAAGCGAAAGCGUUAAGUAUUCCACCUGGGGAGUACGCCGGCAACGGUGAAACUCAAAUGAAUCGACGGGG